GUGCUUGCUAAGGCAGCACAUAUACUAAAAUUGGAUCGAUACAGAGAAGAUUAGCAUGGCCCCUGCGAAAAGCAAAAAUGUCCUUCUCAAAGUCUUCAGCUCCAUCU
Molecule: small nuclear RNA, 107 nt
Organism: Xyrauchen texanus (razorback sucker)
Lineage: Eukaryota; Metazoa; Chordata; Actinopteri; Cypriniformes; Catostomidae
Source: RefSeq, a predicted model, not a curated record